This 233-nucleotide long non-coding RNA is filed under the name Pelobates cultripes (western spadefoot toad). Lineage: Eukaryota; Metazoa; Chordata; Amphibia; Anura; Pelobatidae. The record is from RNAcentral.
AGGGAGUGCAGAAUUAUUAGGCAAGUUGUAUUUUUGAGGAUUAAUUUUAUUAUUGAACAACAACCAUGUUCUCAAUGAACCCAAAAAACUCAUUAAUAUCAAAGCUGAAUAUUUUUGGAAGUAGUUUUUAGUUUGUUUUUAGUUUUAGCUAUGUUAGGGGGAUAUCUGUGUGUGCAGGUGACUAUUACUGUGCAUAAUUAUUAGGCAACUUAACAAAAAACAAAUAUAUACCC